This 86-nucleotide transfer RNA is filed under the name Fidelibacterota bacterium. RNAcentral describes it as "tRNA-Leu". It matches the Rfam family "tRNA". Rfam says of the family: Transfer RNA (tRNA) molecules are approximately 80 nucleotides in length. Their secondary structure includes four short double-helical elements and three loops (D, anti-codon, and T loops). Lineage: Bacteria; Pseudomonadati; Fidelibacterota. The record is from RNAcentral.
GCCCGGGUGGUGGAAUAGGUAGACACAGCAGACUUAAAAUCUGCCGGCUUUUUAAAGCUGUGCCGGUUCGAGUCCGGCCCCGGGUA